CGACGCCGCGUGGGGGAUGAAGGCCUUCGGGUUGUAAACCCCUUUCAGCAGGGACGAAUUCAGACGGUACCUGCAGAAGAAGCGCCGGCUAACUACGUGC
This 100-nucleotide ribosomal RNA is filed under the name uncultured bacterium. RNAcentral describes it as "partial 16S ribosomal RNA". It matches the Rfam family "Bacterial small subunit ribosomal RNA", at positions 392 to 508 of the family's 1533-position model. The record is from RNAcentral.